This 492-nucleotide ribosomal RNA is filed under the name uncultured bacterium. RNAcentral's name for it is "partial 16S ribosomal RNA". It matches the Rfam family "Bacterial small subunit ribosomal RNA", at positions 29 to 507 of the family's 1533-position model. The record is from RNAcentral.
AGUGAACGCUGGCGGUAGGCCUAACACAUGCAAGUCGAACGGCAGCACAGUAAGAGCUUGCUCUUACGGGUGGCGAGUGGCGGACGGGUGAGGAAUACAUCGGAAUCUACUUUUUCGUGGGGGAUAACGUAGGGAAAAUUACGCUAAUACCGCAUACGACCUACGGGUGAAAGCAGGGGAUCUUCGGACCUUGCGCGAUUGAAUGAGCCGAUGUCGGAUUAGCUAGUUGGCGGGGUAAAGGCCCAUCAAGGCGACGAUCCGUAGCUGGUCUGCGAGGACGAUCAGCCACACUGGAACGGAGGCACAGUCCAGACUCCUACGGGAGGCAGCAGUGGGGAAUAUUAGGCAAUGGGCGCAAGCCUGAUCCAGCCAUACCGCGUGGGUGAAGAAGGCCUUCGGGUUGUAAAGCCCUUUUGUUGGGAAAGAAAAGCAGCAGGUUAAUACCCCGCUGUUCUGACGGUACCCAAAGAAUAAGCACCGGCUAACUUCGUG